AAGAAACUCUACAAGUCUAUUUGAGAUGCGCCAUAAUCUUUAUUUUAUUCUAGUUGCGCCAAAUAUGAAUUUCGUUUUAUCUUAUGAUGAUGUGCGAAUUAUUAAAUUAUUUUGAGAUACACCAUAAUCUUUAUUAAGACGAGCAGUGAGCACAUCUACGGAAAUCACCACGCAAGCGCCAAAAAUACAUCAGGGGGGGUACCUGGGGCACCCGAGGAACCCCUGCAAGGCUACGCAAAUCAAUCAUAAGCAAGGAAUUCAAUGGCACUCCAAAUAAAGUAUAUUGCAGAAGUUAAUGCGAACGAGUAGGCAAGAUUGCCGAGGCAACCUUCCAAAAGACAAGUAUCCCCAACACAUCAAAAUGAUAAUACCAUACUACAAAAAGUACAGAAGCAAAGAAAGAAAGCUGCUAAGACAUCUCAAGAUAAAGUUCUGAAUAACAAGUAAGAUCAAGCAGAUGGGGGACAUCCUCUCCACCGUUCCCCUCAACGGGGGUAUCAAAAUAAUACCAUACUACAAAAAGUACAGAAGCAAAGAAAGAAAGCUGCUAAGACAUCUCAAGAUAAAGUUCUGAAUAACAAGUAAGAUCAAGCAGAGGGGGGACAUCCUCUCCACCGUUCCCCUCAACGGGGGUAUCAACAGGAACACUCGCAGCCAAAGAGCGGCUACCCGCAUGAACAGCGCUAACCGAAGGGAGAUCCGCCUGGGGUACCUCAGAAGAUCGCUGUGGGCUGUGAGAUGGGGGAGCCUGGGUAGCCCUCUUGUCCUCUAUCGCUUUAAGGAUGGCCGACUUAUCCACCCAUUUCUCCACCCGGGAUACCACCAGCUCAGGCUCGAUGCUCCAGACCUCAGUCAUGAUAAGAGUAAAGGCCUUGUCCAUCAUCUCCGGUUGGCGAGAUAGUAGCUCGCCAUGCUUAGACUCCCCCUCUUCCAACUUCCUAGACAAUCGGCUAUUCUCCCGGGCGUGGUCGUCCAAGCGCCUUUGCAAAGCCCUGACCUCCUCUCCUAACUUCUCUUCUCGAGACUGGC
This 1029-nucleotide long non-coding RNA is filed under the name Citrus sinensis (sweet orange). Its description in RNAcentral is "long non-coding RNA (CSIN_LNC005494)". Lineage: Eukaryota; Viridiplantae; Streptophyta; Magnoliopsida; Sapindales; Rutaceae. The record is from RNAcentral.